CAGCCGCCACGGUAAUACGAAGGGGGCUAGCGUUGUUCGGAAUUACUGGGCGUAAAGCGCACGUAGGCGGAUUUUUAAGUCAGGGGUGAAAUCCCGAGGCUCAACCUCGGAACUGCCUUUGAUACUGGAGAUCUUGAGUUCGGAAGAGGUUGGUGGAACAGCUAGUGUAGAGGUGAAAUUCGUAGAUAUUAGCUAGAACACCAGUGGCGAGGGCGGCCAACUGGUCCGAUACUGACGCUGAGGUGCGAAAGCGUGGGGAGCAAACAGGAUUAGAUACCCCAGUAGUCCCUGUCUCUUAUAC
Molecule: ribosomal RNA, 301 nt
Filed under: uncultured bacterium
Lineage: Bacteria
Description: partial 16S ribosomal RNA
Rfam family: Bacterial small subunit ribosomal RNA
Source: RNAcentral